UGGAAUACCACCCUUAAAUCAAGAAGUUAAACAUGUAGGUAAUUAUACUUCGCGCCGAUAUUAGUACAUUAUUGCUGAUGCCGGGAAACGGCAAUUUGUAGAUGAGUUCGAUUUUAUCGGUCGAAUUGCAAUUCCUGCCGAGGCAUAUAUAGUGCUUUUCUCUAAACAUGCGAGGAAAUGAGGUAAAAUAAUCAUUAGUUAAGCAUCAAGCAUCACUCAAAUCGAACCUUCAUAUCAAAAACGUCAAAAGCAAUUUCCCUCUUAUUUUUAAAGUGAAAGGCACAACCGGUACCAUUUCUACUUUUAAACCAACUAUGAGUUACCGAAGUUGGCUUCCCUAUAUAUUAACUUUUUCAUUGUGUGUAUAUAUGUACAAUUAAUAGAUUGUAAUGUGGUACGUCCCACAACAAAAAAGGGAAAAAUAUUAACAUUUGGUGAGGUCAAGUUUAAGUAACUUAUAAAUGGGAUAUGUACCUACGUAAGUACUACUUAGGUAUCAAUAUCAAAUCUUGCUUACAUUUCAAUCCCACUAUCGGUCUGAUUCUAAUUUUAAUAAACGUCUCUCGAUAUGAUAUGGAUCGGAUCUGUCCGUGUCAAAAGUGACGUUUUUGUUCGAAGAAACGUAUCGAGAUCAAAUUUUUGACGUUUAUUGAAAUUAGAAUCAAGCCGUAAGUCCCAACUAAUCGAAUAAUACAGACAAAACAAUCACUAUGAGUUCCCCAAUGUUAAGGAUGAAAAUAUGGUUUGACAAGUCACGUCAUAAGACAGGCCAAAGUUAUUUUUUACCCUUUUAAAUCCCGCCAAAUAAGAAAAGCUACAUUGCAAUAUAAAUCAAAAACCGAUAAUAAAUAUGAUUUAAGGUUGAAUUUUCUUUGUUCAAAAUUCCAAAGCGUCAAUGAAAAUACUAUGUUAAUUUUGUUUAUUUUUAAAUUUAUUCGUAUUUAAGUAUGUUGAGCGUGACGGCACUAGGCACUUUCGUGGGAUCUAACAGGCCAGGCCAUUCACAUGAAGGGAUCUCUCUUACUAAAUUUCCUACUGCCGCCGCAUGUUUUCGGCCACUUUUAUCCUGAAAAUGUACUUAUCAUUUAUUCUUAAAAUGAAGUUUUUAGAACCAGUUGGUAGGUACCUAUAAUUCUUAAUAUUUUCUUAACUUCGUUAUAUAAUUAUUCUAGAAGCAUUAAAGAUCCUUUAGUUUCAUACGACUCUUAUCUUGUCCACUUUUAUAAUAAUUUGAGAAAUUCUCGUAUUUAUUAGUAGGUAGUUUUAAUGUGCAAUUUUGCAUACGCUUGACCAAGUAUUUACUCGUAGGUAAGUAGCUAUGUCCGCCGUAACUUGACAUGAGAGAGAUACGUAGGUGAUCGGUGUGUGAGUGAUGCGUUAGCAUAUCGACGGGCAAUUUUCGCAGAUCUUAUUAAAUAGCAUAGUUAUACAUGCUAUUAUAAACAGUUUUUCAUAUAAUCUUUUAAUGACAAGACAACAUUUAAUAUUAAACCUCAGAGGCUAAACCGCUCGCGAAAGUUACCCGUGGCUAUAUUUUGUGUUCAUAGUUAGAUAUUUAUUGCGACUGCGGCCAUGUUCCGUAGCGUAGUGUGAGAUUGUUGGCUUCCUGACGAUUUCUAGCGGAGACGCUGCCUUGCCCCAGACUGUCCCCUUAUUGGGUCUUAUGAACUUCACUUAAAGUGCGCCGAAUCGUUAGGCUUAGUGAUUGUUAAGGCAAUUUGAAUGGUUAGGGCGUAUACCGUCCAGUGGGAUAACUGGGGACAGGAGGGAUAACAUUAGACAAAGGAAAUAUUCCCCCAUUAUAUGGGAUCUACCAGCCUGUUAAUAGGGUAAAUUUUUAACUAGCCAGAUUAGUUCAUAGGUAAAAAAAAAUUGUCUAAUGAUACCUCUAUGUUCCCAGUUAAUCUACUGGUCGGUAGUUACUGUUAUGAUUUUUUUUUUCAAUAUAGUUGUAAAAGUUCUCAGAAAUUUUCACAAGAAUUAAUUAAGUCUCGAUUUUUUUUGAAACUCAAUUAUCUCUUCUAUAUUAAAGAAUGUUGUUUUUGACACAUGUGGAAAACUUCGCAGUUGAAAACUUUGCCUAGAAGUAUAUAUAUCAGUAGAAGUAGUAAAAUAUUCCUUUGCGAUAUUAAGUCUCAUGCGCUAUAUGCCCGAAUUGUAAAUCCAUAUCGCUUUUAGUCCUAUUCAAAAAUGUCUCGAUUUUCGCAAAACAUUCCUUUAAACGUUAUGGAUGGGAUGUUUAGCAAAAGGGAUAGGGAGUCAUUUUGCAACUGGGUCAUUAUGCGCCCUAAUCAUAAAAAUGUUAAAGUUUUAAGUUUGCGUGUAGCCGAACGUGGAAAUCACCGCCACGAUUGUUCACAAGCAAAAUACAACUUUAAAUGGGCAGUGUAAGGUUAUAUUUUCUAAAUCACUAAGGGUGGUAUUCCAUCUGUCCAAUAUCUUGGUCCAAUGUGAUUGCGUCUCACUCUCUCAUUAAGCACAAUGUGACAAAAUACACAUUGGACAUUAGUAGUUUGUGUUACAAGGGAUCAAAAUGAUAUAUUUCCGUCAAGGGCGUACAUUGGAUCCUGAAUGAAGCGAUGGAUUCUACAAUAGAAUCCCGAACGUAGUGAGGGUUUCUAAAGUACAAUCCUGAGCGUAAUGAGGGAUUCAAGUGUUAACGCCCAAGACGAAAUAAUUUUGAUACCGUGUGACACAUACUGCUUUUCACAUCAACUAUGAGGAAAAUAAAAAAAAUCUUAGUGUUGACACAGUUAUUAUGUUUCAAAAUAUAUUUCAAGCUAAAAAAAGAAUGCAAAAAAUGACAAAAACAGUGUCCUAGAACAGAAAAGUGCCACGUUGAUCCCCCUUAGCAGGGAGGAAAAGUGCCACUUUGAUCCCUCCUAGCGGGGAAGAGAAAGCCCUUUUCCGAAUAGGUGAUGUGAAAAGAAAUUAGACAGGUGGAAUACCACCCUAAGUUACGCAACAGUUACGCACGCCUCGCGUGGGGGAUAUGUUCAGGUAGAACGUUUCUAGCGCCACGCAGCGCGUCUGCAACUGGAUGGUGCUGCCAUCUGUCCACCGAACCUGAUGUGGCGGGAAAUACACUCUGGAUGUAUCCAGGGGACGUAUUAUAACAUUCCAAUCGGUACCGCGUCUUGCCCCGCCUUUGUUCCGAGCUCGUAUUUCUCGACCGCUCCAUUAUGCGUAUUCUAAACAUAAUGAUUCCUACAAGAUUUGACUAUUUUUAAUACUGUUUCUAGUUGUGUACAUAGAGACAAUUUAUAUUUCUACAUUAAUAGUUAUUGUUAUAUUAUGUACAGUAGGAUAUUUUUAUAUAAAAAAAAACUUUGUGUAAAUAACUUGUAUGUACUAAGACUGUUGUUUAUCUAGAGCUUUUAAUUUGUUCAGUUAAAUUACUAAUAGGUAUUAGAAAUAAAUCAUGUAUUUUCCAGUCAUUUUGUGAGAUGCGAAAUUUCUCAUAUACUUUUGACUUUCUUGCCAUAUGGAUCGGAAUGAGAUUGUUUGUAAUAAGAGUAUAAAUAGGAUGCAGCUUUGAGAUAACGCGUUGUCUGUUAAUACAAAAUAUGAGUUUACUAGAUAAACGAUUAGAAAAAAUAAUAACGUCAUAUUAUUGCAUUAACAUGUGCGUUUAGCCUGCUUCGGAUCUGAUAAUUACAAAAUGAUGGCAAAAAUUAUAAACAUUGUCUGAUACAUUCAGGUUACUUGUGUUCUCAUACUGUACCUACAGGAAUAAUAAUAUUUUAUUUCAAAAUGAAACGUGCAAGCAAGAGCAUAGACACACUUCCAUUUCUCUUAACUAUAGUUAUGAGCACGUGAAAAAAGCAAGACAAAAAUAUUUAAUUUUACUUUAAUUUAUUAAUUACUAGCUAGUCCAUUAUCAACGAAAUAUAGUAUUACCAAGCAUUAUUCUAUUAAUUUUAAUUGGAGAAUUAUCAAGCUUAUCUUUGGAUAUUAUGUUUAUAUUUACAGACUAUACAGUCAAGAGUAGGUACCUAUGUAGUAUAAAGAUGGUUUUCUCAAAUAAAUACAAAUGCAUUAUGUCAUGGCACUGUUUUUCUGACAUAGCUUAAGAGUUUAAUUUGACCUAAGUAAAUUUUUUCCUUGACUAGUUUAUUGUAUUGUAUUUCAAAUGCAUUUAUGUUUUUUGUGAUAUCGUUCUAAAUUAAACUAGGGGGCGCCACGCGUGCUGGCGCAAGCCACGAUGACUUGGAAAUACAUAUUGAUGUGUUGUUUUAUUAAAUAAAAAUAACAAAUUAUUUAAUAUAUCAGUUGUUUUAUUAGUCAUUUCAGAUUAUCUCUAUAAUCUCGAGAUUUUUUUACUAUCUAUACAAUUUGGUAAAUUGCAUAUAAUUCAACCUACAUGUGCGACUAUUGGCUAAUAACAAAACUGUUAAUUGUAUUCUACUGUAUUUGCUCGAGGACAUACUAUCAGGCAAUAGUAUAGGUACCUACCUAAACUUUUUUGUCUUAGAGGCGUCUUUUAUGCAUAAAUUCAUACAAAAAAUUUAGUUUGUACAUUUUUCAAAAACUUACACUAGAUUUUUUUUUACAAAAGAGGUUUGAUCAGAAGAGUCAGUGAUACAAAGAUUUUUCCUUCCUGUGUCCAAGAGUGUUUGGUGAAAGACUAUAUUAUUUUCACUGACAGUCGACACAGACCCAAAACUAUAUUAUUGGGGACGGUUUUGGCAGGUAAAUGUCAGUCAAAAUUUACGCCCAAUAUCCUUCAUAUAUUUGAGAACAGAGGAGACGCGCGCGCCUUCUCCUCCUUUGGUUUUUCUGUGUGAGAUGGUUAUACCACGUAUCGGAAAUACCACCGCUUAAAAGCUCAUUUAGAUGGUGCGAGAACUCAUAAGCGAAUUUCGUUACAUUGCGGUAGGUAUUAGAUCGAUCGGUUGAACUGGCUGUACCAUCGCCCACUGUUAACUGUACAUCGGUGGACCUUAAGCCUUUUGCAAUAAGGUUCACCGAUGUACAGGUAGAAGUAAUGCUGUUUGUACCUCAUUAGUUGACAAUGUAACUUAAUUUAUCGCCCCGUAUGUCUGAGCUUUUACUCUCUAUACAUAAAUAAAGCCAGCAGAGUAAAGAUGCGGGCUUUUUACUGUUUCGCUACUACUUUCUAUACACUUUAUACUCGCAAUUUGAGCCAAGGUUCCAUUGUUACCUCACCCUGUGGGUAAGAAACCCGGUGUGCCUGGAACCCGGAGGAUUUUAACCACGCUUUCACGAGACCAAAAUAAUUGAUUGUUAAAACUAUCACUUAAAAUGAACUCGUAAAGAUUUUUUAUUGUAAGGACCAAUUUUUCCUUGUCACUUUGAUGUCAAUAACGAUAAACAAACUAAACUAGUCAACAUAGUGACACACUACAAGCGUUUUGCAAUGAUCAUGAUCAAAAAAUGUUAUCGACCUCUGAAAGUAGGCCUAGAACAGAAAACUUUGUGCGACAUUUUAGUCUCCAAAUAUAAUCAGGAAUACGUUGUUAAAAUCAUCCCGGUUCCUCCGGGGCAUGUUGUACAAUAUUAUAACAUAACACACACAAAACUCACGCUGUGUGAAGUAUUUCGAUUCGGUUAUCGCAGUCUCACAAAUAGCGACUUUAUUUUUUGUGCAGCAACCGUUAACAGUACAUAUGGACUACACCAGUGCGAUAAUUAGUACAUUACGAUACUAUGUCGAAAAUUUAAAAGGCCAUUUGUACUGUAAAACGUUGUACUUACUAUACAUGUGCGAAUAGGUAAUUCGCAACUCGUGUCAAUUUAAAACACUCCCUUCGGUUGUGUUUUAAUAUAUCGCCACUCGUUGCUAUUUUCCUAUUUUUAACCGACUUCAAUUUCAUAGAAGGAGGAGGUUCAGUAUUCGUUUGUGGCUAUGUUUUUUUUUUUCCUAUUCGCACUAGUAUCGUAAUGUCCUAUUAUGCAUCUCAAUAUAUGUGUAUAGUUCUAGAUACAUGACGCUACUGCACAUCUAAUCACAAUGGAGAAAUAUUAAAUAUAAACACGAAAUGUUUCUAAUAUAAUGAGGAACAACAUUUGUACACAAACAAUUGAUAAUAAAAUAUAUCUUACAUAUUUUUAACAAAAACAAAACAAAUAUUAAUCCCGUUUGUUCUAAAUAAUAAUUAUAAUACAAUGGUAAUUAAUGUCAAUAUAACAAAUAGAGAACACACGGGACUAACCCCAAAAAACUCAUGGACAAAAAUAUAUAACAAUAAUCUAUUUCGACUAGCGAAAGCAUAUAUGUGGCUUCUUUAAACAAAACUUGCUGCCUUAAUCGAAAACUUUGUUAAUAAGAAUCCAGCGUUACAUUACAGAUUCCCCCGACAAAUGAACAUAAUCACAGCACGUGUUUCAAAAUGGCGUUGACUAGAUCGACGGAGUGCUCGUCGACGAGCACGAUGUCGAAGUGUUUGAGGUAGUUGGGCAGGUUGUCGGCG
Long non-coding RNA from Cydia splendana, 6434 nucleotides. RefSeq lists it as uncharacterized. NCBI's taxonomy places the organism in Eukaryota, Metazoa, Arthropoda, Insecta, Lepidoptera, Tortricidae. The transcript is spliced from 3 exons. The record is from RefSeq and is a predicted model, not a curated record.